GGCGCAGCCUGAUCCAGCCAUACCGCGGUGGGUGAAGAAGGCCUUCGGGUUGUAAAGCCCUUUUGUUGGGAAAGAAAUCCAGCUGGNUAAUACCNGGAUUGGGAUGACGGUACCCAAAGAAUAAGCACCGGCUAACUUCGUGCCAGCAGCCGCGGUAAUACGA
This 163-nucleotide ribosomal RNA is filed under the name Stenotrophomonas maltophilia. Its description in RNAcentral is "partial 16S ribosomal RNA". It matches the Rfam family "Bacterial small subunit ribosomal RNA", at positions 374 to 528 of the family's 1533-position model. Lineage: Bacteria; Pseudomonadati; Pseudomonadota; Gammaproteobacteria; Lysobacterales; Lysobacteraceae. The record is from RNAcentral.